RNAcentral lists this transfer RNA (57 nucleotides) under Capra hircus (goat). It matches the Rfam family "tRNA", at positions 8 to 63 of the family's 71-position model. From Rfam's summary of the family: Transfer RNA (tRNA) molecules are approximately 80 nucleotides in length. Their secondary structure includes four short double-helical elements and three loops (D, anti-codon, and T loops). Further hydrogen bonds mediate the characteristic L-shaped molecular structure. tRNAs have two regions of fundamental functional importance: the anti-codon, which is responsible for specific mRNA codon recognition, and the 3' end, to which the tRNAs corresponding amino acid is attached (by aminoacyl-tRNA synthetases). tRNAs cope with the degeneracy of the genetic code in two manners: having more than one tRNA (with a specific anti-codon) for a particular amino acid; and 'wobble' base-pairing, i.e. permitting non-standard base-pairing at the 3rd anti-codon position. Lineage: Eukaryota; Metazoa; Chordata; Mammalia; Artiodactyla; Bovidae. RNAcentral also lists the same sequence under 1 other name. The record is from Rfam by way of RNAcentral.
UGGCUCAAAGGAUAAAGCGCCUGCCUGCAAUGCAGGAGACCCGGGUUUGAUCCCUGG